RNAcentral lists this ribosomal RNA (198 nucleotides) under uncultured bacterium. RNAcentral describes it as "partial 16S ribosomal RNA". It matches the Rfam family "Bacterial small subunit ribosomal RNA", at positions 326 to 539 of the family's 1533-position model. The record is from RNAcentral.
ACGCUCGACACCUACGGCAGGCAGCAGUGGGGAAUAUUGCACAAUGGGGGAAACCCUGAUGCAGCGACGCCGCGUGAGCGAAGAAGUAUUUCGGUAUGUAAAGCUCUAUCAGCAGGGAAGAAACUGACGGUACCUGACUAAGAAGCACCGGCUAAAUACGUGCCAGCAGCCGCGGUAAUCUGAGCGGGCUGGCAAGGC